GCCGCCAGUCGUUCGCCCCCAGUUCCUGCACCGCUCGGUUUACGGCAGCUCUUCUGACUACUCGAUCGAUAUCCACAACAUUCGCAAGGUUUCCAACGGUCCAAGUGCUGUUAGUCUGCCUCAUCGUUGAAGGCUACGGACUGCACCACCAUCCGUUGAAUCAGGCUGUAUAUCCGGCGUCCGGCUUCAGCGGCUACAAUACUGCCGCUGCUCCCUACCAAGGAUACAACACCUACACCUAUCCACCUCACCCGCACAACUUUGGCUACGACAGUGUGGACGAGUACGGAAAUCGACAGUUCCGCAGCGCGCAGAGCAACUCCAAAAACACCAAGACCGGUUUGUACGGCUACCGCGACGUGAAUGGCCUCUACGGGCGCGUGAACUACAUCGCCGAUGAGUACGCAUUCCGGGCCACCGUGGACGCCAACGAACCAGCUGCCACUCUUGAAGAGAGCGCCGACGCGGUUUUCAACGUUGCCCCAGUGGUGCAUCCGGUUCUUUCAGCAGCUGACCGGAUUGGUGCACCUACAGCUUAUACCGUUAG
Molecule: non-coding RNA, 547 nt
Organism: Dermacentor albipictus
Lineage: Eukaryota; Metazoa; Arthropoda; Arachnida; Ixodida; Ixodidae
Source: RefSeq, a predicted model, not a curated record